RNAcentral lists this ribosomal RNA (301 nucleotides) under uncultured bacterium. RNAcentral describes it as "partial 16S ribosomal RNA". It matches the Rfam family "Bacterial small subunit ribosomal RNA", at positions 509 to 807 of the family's 1533-position model. The record is from RNAcentral.
CAGUCGCCGCGGUAAAACGGAGGGUGCAAGCGUUAUCCGGAUUUAUUGGGUUUAAAGGGUCCGUAGGCGGAUCUGUAAGUCAGUGGUGAAAUCUCACAGCUUAACUGUGAAACUGCCAUUGAUACUGCAGGUCUUGAGUAAAUUUGAAGUGGCUGGAAUAAGUAGUGUAGCGGUGAAAUGCAUAGAUAUUACUUAGAACACCAAUUGCGAAGGCAGGUCACUAAGAUUUAACUGACGCUGAUGGACGAAAGCGUGGGGAGCGAACAGGAUUAGAGACCCCAGUAGUCCCUGUCUCUUAUAC